RNAcentral lists this ribosomal RNA (1907 nucleotides) under Blastopirellula marina DSM 3645. RNAcentral describes it as "bacterial LSU rRNA". It matches the Rfam family "Bacterial large subunit ribosomal RNA", at positions 985 to 2915 of the family's 2925-position model. Lineage: Bacteria; Pseudomonadati; Planctomycetota; Planctomycetia; Pirellulales; Pirellulaceae. The record is from RNAcentral.
CAGUCCACGAGGGAUAAGCUUCGUGGUCGAGAAGGGAAACAACCCAGUACCGUCUGUUAAGGUCCCGAAGUAGACGCUCAGUCACUAAGGAGGUUGAAUUACUGUGACAACCAGGAUGUUGGCUUAGAAGCAGCCACCAUUUAAAAAGUGCGUAACAGCUUACUGGUCGAGUAAUUCUGCGCCGAUAAUGAUCGGGAGUAAGCGUCUCACCGAAGCAGCGGACGAAAGUGGUAGGAGAGCGCCGAUAGUCAGAUACGAGCCGUACCGAAAGGAGCGGUGUUGGGGCUAUCGGGUGAUUAUGCCGGAAUGAGUAACGAUUAAACAGGUGAGAAUCCUGUUCGCCGAAUACCUAAGGUUUCCUGGGGAAGGCAAUUCCGCCCAGGGUUAGCCGGUGCCUUAGUCGAGGCCGAAAGGCGUAGACGAUGGAUAGCAGGUUAAUAUUCCUGCGCUAGAACGUUGGACCGAUGGAGGGACGGCGUCCGAAAGGUGAUCGGGCUGGUGGAACAGCCCGUGAUUUGCAGCAAGAUGGGGAGAUUGGAAAAUCCGCUCCCGGAAUUCAAGCUGUCGAUCUGACUCAAAUUGAGGUAAUCAUCGGUAGGACGUCCAAGAAAAGCUUCUAAGGGAUGAAGGCGUUUUAACCGUACUAAAACUGACACAGGUAGGUAGGUCGAGUAGACCAAGGCGCUCGGGAGAACAGUGGUUAAGGAACUCUGCAAAAUGACCCCGUAAGUUCGCGAUAAGGGGUGCCCCUGACGGUGCAAGCUGUUGGGGGCCACAGAAAAUCGGCUCUGGCGACUGUUUAUCAAAAACACAGGACCCUGCUAACUCGCAAGAGGAUGUAUAGGGUCUGACGCCUGCCCGGUGCCGGUAGGUUAAGGAAGAGGGUGCAAGCUCGCGACCGAAGCCCCGGUAAACGGCGGCCGUAACUAUGACGGUCCUAAGGUAGCGAAGUUCCUUGUCGGGUAAGUUCCGACCUGCAUGAAAGGCGUAACGACUGGAGCACUGUCUCAACCACUGACCCGGUGAAAUUGUAGUUGUGGUGAAGAUGCCACAUACCCGCAGUUAGACGGAAAGACCCCGUGAACCUUUACUGUAGGCUGAUAUUGGUCUGAGAUAUGUUCUGUGUAGGAUAGGUGGGAGGCUUUGAUCUCGGCGCGCCAGCGUCGGAGGAGCCGUCCUUGAAAUACCACCCUGAAUAUGUUUUAGCUCUAACCCUGAAUAUCCGUGAAUCCGGACAGGGAACAGUGUCAGUUGGGCAGUUUGACUGGGGCGGUCUCCUCCCAAAGAGUAACGGAGGAGUGCAAUGGUACCCUCAGCCUGGUUGGCCAUCAGGCAAAGAGCGCAAUGGUAAAAGGGUGCUUGACUGCGAGACUUAUCGGUCGAGCAGGUACGAAAGUAGGUCAUAGUGAUCCGGUAGUCCCGUAUGGAAGGGCUAUCGCUCAUCAGAUAAAAGGUACUCCGGGGAUAACAGGCUUAUCGCAUCCGAGCGUCCAUAGCGGCGAUGCGGUUUGGCACCUCGAUGUCGGCUCAUCACAUCCUGGGGGUGAAGAAGCUCCCAAGGGUUCGGCUGUUCGCCGAUUAAAGUGGUACGUGAGCUGGGUUCAGACCGUCGUGAGACAGGUCGGUCCCUAUCUGCUGUGGGCGUACGAAUUUUGAGGAGGUUCUUCUUUAGUACGAGAGGAUUUGGAAGGACGACCCUCUGGUGUCCCAGUUGUCAUGCCAGUGGCACGGCUGGAUAGCUAUGGUCGGAAAGGAUAAACGCUGAAAGCAUCUAAGCGUGAAGCCCGCUCCAAGAUUAGAAUUCGUAAGCACUUUAGUGCGAGAGUCCCCUGGAAGACGACCAGGUUGAUAGGCUGGAUGUGUAAGCACAGUAAUGUGUUCAGCUAACCAGUACUAACGGACGAAAG